CAGUCGCCACGGGAACACGGAGGGGGCUAGCGUUGUUCGGAUUAACUGGGCGUAAAGGGCGCGUAGGCGGGUUUUUAAGUCAGAGGUGAAAUCCCAAGGCUCAACCUUGGAACUGCCUUUGAUACUGGAAGUCUUGAGUCCGGGAGAGGUGAGUGGAACUGCGAGUGUAGAGGCGAAAUUCGUAGAUAUUCGCAGGAACACCAGUGGCGAAGGCGGCUCACUGGCCCGGUACUGACGCUGAGGCGCGAAAGCGUGGGGAGCAGACAGGAUUAGAUACCCGAGUAGUCCCUGUCUCUUAUAC
This 301-nucleotide ribosomal RNA is filed under the name uncultured bacterium. RNAcentral's name for it is "partial 16S ribosomal RNA". It matches the Rfam family "Bacterial small subunit ribosomal RNA", at positions 509 to 807 of the family's 1533-position model. The record is from RNAcentral.